This 236-nucleotide long non-coding RNA is filed under the name Lathyrus oleraceus (garden pea). RNAcentral's name for it is "Pisum sativum (pea) long non-coding RNA (PSAT_LNC014924)". Lineage: Eukaryota; Viridiplantae; Streptophyta; Magnoliopsida; Fabales; Fabaceae. The record is from RNAcentral.
UAAAAUAAAUCUAAAGACUCACUUAAAUAAACAAACUUAAAUAUAAAUAUGACAAAUAUAAAUACAAAAAUCUCUCUCCUUUUUAUAUACAAUAAAUCAAAGUAAAAUAAAACAAGGGUUUUAAAUAUGGAUAUGGGGUGCUACUAAAAAAAAUAAAAAAAUAAAAAGGUCAAAGACCCUCAAGACUCAAUUUCAACACUAACCACAAUCAUAAUAAUAAUAAAAUAAUAAUAAUA